RNAcentral lists this ribosomal RNA (484 nucleotides) under uncultured bacterium. RNAcentral describes it as "partial 16S ribosomal RNA". It matches the Rfam family "Bacterial small subunit ribosomal RNA", at positions 30 to 507 of the family's 1533-position model. The record is from RNAcentral.
AUUGAACGCUGGCGGCAGGCCUAACACAUGCAAGUCGAGCGGAUGAAGGGAGCUUGCUCCUGGAUUCAGCGGCGGACGGGUGAGUAAUGCCUAGGAAUCUGCCUGGUAGUGGGGGAUAACGUCCGGAAACGGGCGCUAAUACCGCAUACGUCCUGAGGGAGAAAGUGGGGGAUCUUCGGACCUCACGCUAUCAGAUGAGCCUAGGUCGGAUUAGCUAGUUGGUGGGGUAAAGGCCUACCAAGGCGACGAUCCGUAACUGGUCUGAGAGGAUGAUCAGUCACACUGGAACUGAGACACGGUCCAGACUCCUACGGGAGGCAGCAGUGGGGAAUAUUGGACAAUGGGCGAAAGCCUGAUCCAGCCAUGCCGCGGGUGUGAAGAAGGUCUUCGGAUUGGAAAGCACUUUAAGUUGGGAGGAAGGGCAGUAAGUUAAUACCUUGCUGGUUUGACGUUACCAACAGAAGAAGCACCGGCUAACUUCGUG